This 345-nucleotide unclassified non-coding RNA is filed under the name soil metagenome. RNAcentral describes it as "partial contains 5.8S ribosomal RNA, internal transcribed spacer 2, and large subunit ribosomal RNA". The stretch from base 1 to 120 matches the Rfam family "5.8S ribosomal RNA", at positions 35 to 154 of the family's 154-position model. The record is from RNAcentral.
GAUGAAGAACGCAGCGAAAUGCGAUAAGUAAUGUGAAUUGCAGAAUUCAGUGAAUCAUCGAAUCUUUGAACGAACAUUGCGCCCGCCAGUAUUCUGGCGGGCAUGCCUGUCCGAGCGUCAUUUCAACCCUCAAGCCCCCGGGCUUGGUGUUGGAGAUCGGCGAGCCCCCCGGGGCGCGCCGUCUCCCAAAUAUAGUGGCGGUCCCGCUGUAGCUUCCUCUGCGUAGUAGCUCACCUCGCACUGGGAAACAGCGUGGCCACGCCGUAAAACCCCCCACUUCUGAAAGGUUGACCUCGGAUCAGGUAGGAAUACCCGCUGAACUUAAGCAUAUCAAUAAGCGGAGGA